RNAcentral lists this ribosomal RNA (253 nucleotides) under uncultured bacterium. RNAcentral describes it as "partial 16S ribosomal RNA". It matches the Rfam family "Bacterial small subunit ribosomal RNA", at positions 524 to 776 of the family's 1533-position model. The record is from RNAcentral.
UACGAAGGGGGCUAGCGUUGCUCGGAAUGACUGGGCGUAAAGGGCGCGUAGGUGGUUUGUUAAGUCUGUUGUGAAAGCCCCGGGCUCAACCUGGGAAUGGCAAUGGAUACUGGCAGGCUAGAGUGCGGUAGAGGGUAGUGGAAUUCCCGGUGUAGCGGUGAAAUGCGUAGAGAUCGGGAGGAACACCAGUGGCGAAGGCGGCUACCUGGACCAGCACUGACACUGAGGCACGAAAGCGUGGGGAGCAAACAGG